This 1397-nucleotide ribosomal RNA is filed under the name Staphylococcus aureus. Its description in RNAcentral is "partial 23S ribosomal RNA". It matches the Rfam family "Bacterial large subunit ribosomal RNA", at positions 1508 to 2904 of the family's 2925-position model. Lineage: Bacteria; Bacillati; Bacillota; Bacilli; Caryophanales; Staphylococcaceae. The record is from RNAcentral.
ACGUCUAAGCAGUAAGGCUGAGUAUUAGGCAAAUCCGGUACUCAUUAAGGCUGAGCUGUGAUGGGGAGAAGACAUUGUGUCUUCGAGUCGUUGAUUUCACACUGCCGAGAAAAGCCUCUAGAUAGAAAAUAGGUGCCCGUACCGCAAACCGACACAGGUAGUCAAGAUGAGAAUUCUAAGGUGAGCGAGCGAACUCUCGUUAAGGAACUCGGCAAAAUGACCCCGUAACUUCGGGAGAAGGGGUGCUCUUUAGGGUUAACGCCCAGAAGAGCCGCAGUGAAUAGGCCCAAGCGACUGUUUAUCAAAAACACAGGUCUCUGCUAAACCGUAAGGUGAUGUAUAGGGGCUGACGCCUGCCCGGUGCUGGAAGGUUAAGAGGAGUGGUUAGCUUCUGCGAAGCUACGAAUCGAAGCCCCAGUAAACGGCGGCCGUAACUAUAACGGUCCUAAGGUAGCGAAAUUCCUUGUCGGGUAAGUUCCGACCCGCACGAAAGGCGUAACGAUUUGGGCACUGUCUCAACGAGAGACUCGGUGAAAUCAUAGUACCUGUGAAGAUGCAGGUUACCCGCGACAGGACGGAAAGACCCCGUGGAGCUUUACUGUAGCCUGAUAUUGAAAUUCGGCACAGCUUGUACAGGAUAGGUAGGAGCCUUUGAAACGUGAGCGCUAGCUUACGUGGAGGCGCUGGUGGGAUACUACCCUAGCUGUGUUGGCUUUCUAACCCGCACCACUUAUCGUGGUGGGAGACAGUGUCAGGCGGGCAGUUUGACUGGGGCGGUCGCCUCCUAAAAGGUAACGGAGGCGCUCAAAGGUUCCCUCAGAAUGGUUGGAAAUCAUUCAUAGAGUGUAAAGGCAUAAGGGAGCUUGACUGCGAGACCUACAAGUCGAGCAGGGUCGAAAGACGGACUUAGUGAUCCGGUGGUUCCGCAUGGAAGGGCCAUCGCUCAACGGAUAAAAGCUACCCCGGGGAUAACAGGCUUAUCUCCCCCAAGAGUUCACAUCGACGGGGAGGUUUGGCACCUCGAUGUCGGCUCAUCGCAUCCUGGGGCUGUAGUCGGUCCCAAGGGUUGGGCUGUUCGCCCAUUAAAGCGGUACGCGAGCUGGGUUCAGAACGUCGUGAGACAGUUCGGUCCCUAUCCGUCGUGGGCGUAGGAAAUUUGAGAGGAGCUGUCCUUAGUACGAGAGGACCGGGAUGGACAUACCUCUGGUGUACCAGUUGUCGUGCCAACGGCAUAGCUGGGUAGCUAUGUGUGGACGGGAUAAGUGCUGAAAGCAUCUAAGCAUGAAGCCCCCCUCAAGAUGAGAUUUCCCAACUUCGGUUAUAAGAUCCCUCAAAGAUGAUGAGGUUAAUAGGUUCGAGGUGGAAGCAUGGUGACAUGUGGAGCUGACGAAUACUAA